CUUCACUUCACAUUUUAAAUCACCCUUGGGUUCAUCUACUGGAAAUUAUUGUUCUAGAGGUGAGAUGUGUAACUGAUUUUUGGGGGUGGAUAAUUUCAAGUAGAAUAUAGCCCAGUAUAAAAUUUAAAUACAAUCAAAAGAAGUGCAUCUGGAUAGUUUUUAGUUCCUGUCUUGAAAAUACAAUAUGAAGCUAUUUUUCCUGUCUCUCUUGGUAUGAACUGAGUUUUAAAUGUUUAUUUCAGAAACAUCAAGGGCUCCAACUGGCGACAGCAUGGAUGUAUUUCCAAUGCCUAUGUCCAAAUUUCAGAAAUGUGUCCUUAAAAAGCUGGUGGAGAUCAUGCAGGAGGUCAAGAGAAUUGGAAGUGCAGAACCUAGUAAUUCAACAUACCACAUUAGAAGAAUGGAGACGAUAGAGGAGCUGAAUGCCUUGGAGGAGAAGCUGCAAAAUAAUGAAGAGAGACAUGUUCUGAUUACCCAGUUGAGUAAAGUAGGAGGCAAACAUAUCAG
This is a long non-coding RNA of Sinocyclocheilus grahami, 507 nucleotides long. RefSeq lists it as uncharacterized. The record is from RefSeq and is a predicted model, not a curated record. The transcript is spliced from 3 exons. NCBI's taxonomy places the organism in Eukaryota, Metazoa, Chordata, Actinopteri, Cypriniformes, Cyprinidae.